AGGCUCAGGAUGAACGCUAGCUACAGGCUUAACACAUGCAGUCGAGGGGCAGCAUGAACUUAGCUUGCUAAGUUUGAUGGCGACCGCGCACGGGUGAGUAACACGUAUCCAACCUGCCGAUGACUCGGGGAUAGCCUUUCGAAAGAAAGAUUAAUACCCGAUGGCAUAGUUCUUCCGCAUGGUAGAACUAUUAAAGAAUUUCGGUCAUCGAUGGGGAUGCGUUCCAUUAGGUUGUUGGCGGGGUAACGGCCCACCAAGCCUUCGAUGGAUAGGGGUUCUGAGAGGAAGGUCCCCCACAUUGGAACUGAGACACGGUCCAAACUCCUACGGGAGGCAGCAGUGAGGAAUAUUGGUCAAUGGACGAGAGUCUGAACCAGCCAAGUAGCGUGAAGGAUGACUGCCCUAUGGGUUGUAAACUUCUUUUAUACGGGAAUAAAGUGAGGCACGUGUGCCUUUUUGUAUGUACCGUAUGAAUAAGGAUCGGCUAACUCCGUGCCAGCAGCCGCGGUAAUACGGAGGAUCCGAGCGUUAUCCGGAUUUAUUGGGUUUAAAGGGAGCGUAGGCGGACGCUUAAGUCAGUUGUGAAAGUUUGCGGCUCAACCGUAAAAUUGCAGUUGAUACUGGGUGUCUUGAGUACAGUAGAGGCAGGCGGAAUUCGUGGUGUAGCGGUGAAAUGCUUAGAUAUCACGAAGAACUCCGAUUGCGAAGGCAGCUUGCUGGACUGUAACUGACGCUGAUGCUCGAAAGUGUGGGUAUCAAACAGGAUUAGAUACCCUGGUAGUCCACACAGUAAACGAUGAAUACUCGCUGUUUGCGAUAUACAGUAAGCGGCCAAGCGAAAGCGUUAAGUAUUCCACCUGGGGAGUACGCCGGCAACGGUGAAACUCAAAGGAAUUGACGGGGGCCCGCACAAGCGGAGGAACAUGUGGUUUAAUUUCGAUGAUACGCGAGGAACCUUACCCGGGCUUGAAUUGCAACUGAAUGAUGUGGAGACAUGUCAGCCGCAGGGCAGUUGUGAAGGUGCUGCAUGGUUGUCGUCAGCU
This 1043-nucleotide ribosomal RNA is filed under the name uncultured bacterium. RNAcentral describes it as "bacterial SSU rRNA". It matches the Rfam family "Bacterial small subunit ribosomal RNA", at positions 20 to 1060 of the family's 1533-position model. The record is from RNAcentral.